RNAcentral lists this transfer RNA (203 nucleotides) under Eutypa lata UCREL1. RNAcentral describes it as "tRNA-Und (NNN) (tRNA-Und-NNN-12-1)". Lineage: Eukaryota; Fungi; Ascomycota; Sordariomycetes; Xylariales; Diatrypaceae. The record is from RNAcentral.
GCCAGGUUAGUGUAGUGGUAACACAUCUUCGCCCUCCAAAAAAAACAAAACAGAACAAAUGAAGGUCUUGGGUUCGAUGCCCUGCGGUUGUACAAAUGUACACAGCAAAAACAUCCGGGUGGCCCUUCACACCCUGUGCGAAUAAAUCCACCUCCACAGAAUGGCAUGAAAAGAAGACCCAGGUUCGAAUCCUGGACCAGGCA